Long non-coding RNA from Heterocephalus glaber (naked mole-rat), 2324 nucleotides. The record is from Ensembl. NCBI's taxonomy places the organism in Eukaryota, Metazoa, Chordata, Mammalia, Rodentia, Bathyergidae.
AGCUUGUCAAACUCAGCCAGCUCCUGUCACUCCUGGGGUGGCUGGAGCUUGGAUGUCGUCACCUCUGAGCAGGGGCAGGGCAGUUUCUCCUUCCAACCUUUCUCUCAGAGCAGAGAGAGCAGUGGAAUGAAGGUCCCACGAGGCCCACCAGCCCCAGGGGCCGCCCGGGGGCGAGGGAUCGAACUUGGGACCUUCUGCUUGUGAGGCAGAUGGUGGAACUGUAAGACCGAGGGCCUUACCAAAUGCUCUGAGGAGCUGACUGUAGUGAAGCACACCCAGGGAUCCCAGCGGUGCCUCCAGAAUGUAAGACCGAGGGCCUUACCAAACGCUCCGAGGAGCUGACUGCAGCGACGAACACCCGGGAAGGAACACACCGGACACGUUGGAAAGUUGGGCAACCACGAAGUUAACCAUUUGAACAAGUCCCCGUCAUCCUCAUUAUAUAUUCUUUGAGCCAGAUCUUCUAAUUGUUUUACCUUUUCUUCGAUCUUUGGACCAUUAUCGGUAAGAUUGAAACAACACAUAUUUUUUACUCUUUCACAACCUUGGUGGUGGAGGAGCAACAAAUAGUCUAUUGCUGUUCUAUUAUCUAAGAUUGCCUGUCUCUGUUCCUGUAACUCUUGGUUAAUUAAUGACAAGGCUGAUGAGCUAGCAUUUAACCCUUUGACCACCUUGCAAGCUAAUUUUCAUACUGCCUUUUCAGCAUGGACUCCUAUAGAAGGCAGGGCAACAAAAGAUGCUAUCAUGGUUAUUACUUCAGCAUCUGUUAACAGACCUACGUCAUCAUCGCAUCCUGGUGCAGUGUAAGGUGACCAACGUUUAGUUCUGUUAGGCACAAUCAAAUCAGUUCUGUCUGGCAACACUACAGCUAGACGACUCAAACAGCAACGGGUCUUGGUUAAAUUUGCUGGAAUAUAAUUAAAGGUUAUCCCUUCACAGGUAUAAAGCCAUCCUGUGGGCAGGGAGAUAUGGCAAUUGUUAUACACAAUUUUUUGUUUUAUAUGGCAGGACAUCCCUUUUGACCAUUUUAUCCGCAGACAUUUGGUUGUGCAAUUUUCAUACAUAGCACAUUCAGUUUUGUUUGACAUAAUUACCUUGGGUGUAUAUAAUUUGACAGCAUUUUUAGGUUUACAGCAGGUGUCAUGCCCCCAAUUUUAACUAUCCAGGUAAGUAAGAUUUUUUUCCUGGGAUGUCUUUAAAUAGGGUAUAGGGUCGUAUUAAUUCUAAAGAGGUGCAUACCGGAAUGAGACAGCUUCCCAGCACAUAAUGGAAAUUUACAUCAACAUUUAAGCAGAAUUCAGACAAGUUAAGCGAGUUUGCCAAUUGAAUCCAUACAUUUUUUUGUGUGAUCUAGUCCUCUUGGGGGCAAUACUGCCAGUGUCCCAGAGAAUAUUAUCAUUAAGGUGAAACAUCUCUAACCCGUUCCAGUCUUAGCUUUUGGUUGCCUGGUUGGCUGAUAACCUUCCAUUUGUCCUUUUUGACAUCCACGGGGGGUCCUGGCUUUCAGAUGGUUGCGAUGUAUCCAGGCAGAAUGUCCAGCCACCUUCACCGCCAAGGGAGCUGACAGGACAGCAGGAACCGGUCCCUUCCAACGAGGUUCCAGGGUCUUGGAAUCAAACCUCCGGAGGUUUUCUGAGGUCUGUGCCUGAGUCUCCUGCUGGAUCCCGCCACAGAGUCUUGGCUGAACGGGGGUCCCUUACCCGGGGAUCUCGCUGGGGCCUCCAAAAUGUAAGACUGAGGGCCUUACCAAACGCUCCGAGGAGCUGACUAUAGUGAAGCACACCCAGGGAUCCCAGCGGUGCCUUCAGAAUGAAAGACCAAGGGCCUUACCAAACGCUCCGAGGAGCUGACUGCAGCGAAGAACACCUGAGAAGGAACACACCGGACACGUUGGAAAGUAAAACAGACCUUUAUUAGUCUGGCCAGACGGCACUCCCAAAGCAAAAUAGCUUAGAGAGGCAGCUAGCUCAGAGUCCGAGGCUGUUUUUAUAGGGGGUUGAGGGGGAGUUAACAUAUAGAAUUAAAGAAAAGGGGACAAAGGUUAGUGGUCGACUGUCACGUAUUGAUGGUCAGCAGACAUUUGCAGCUUGUUCUAAAAAUUGUGGUGCUCGGAACAUCAGUUCCGGGCAAACAAGGAAUUGAGUAGUUUACUUUGGGACUUUAGGUCUGUUACAGAUUUUUAUCUAGUGUCCCAAAACUAACAAGCAUCUUUAUCUCUUAACUCACAUUUAAUCACAAUGGGGCUGGAGAAAAGGAACAAAGGUUAUGCAGUCCCACAGAACCACUGAGCUAAAUCCCCGGCCCUGAAAUGUUUUGAAUACGAC